UGAACAGAAGAGCGCACAGGCACGAUCCCACUGCGAACUAGUAGUAAAGGAUGGCAAUGCAGGUCAGUGGAAAAAUUUAGCCGGCUCUAUCUGGAUCACGCGAUCCGACAGCUCAGGCGGUCAUCAUGUCCCAUUUUUGACCCUCUGCACAUUCCCCGAGUCUUCUGUGCAUGUGCAUGUGUGGAGAAGGCAUGCACGCUCACAUUUGUGAACCAGUAGCGAAGGGCGACUGAAUGGAACUGAGCGUUUACUGGCCAGAUGCCUUUCCUGACACUUAUGUGGAACUCACAGCAGUUGACAAGAAAUUGCUAUGAGGAAAAAGUUGGUUGCUGUUCAUGAAAUGGAAGCCUGCAGUGAAUACUUGUCAGUGCUGAUACACCAUGAUUGAAGUUUUGACUGCCAAAGAAGUCGACUGAAAUUCACCACCAAGGAUAAAUUGUUUAUGGUGAUGAUUGCAUCCGGGCUCACCUAGAGGAAAAUUGCUUUUAGAUACAGUUCAAAUCUUUAAUACCAAUAUCAAAACGAAGUUUGAACUAAAUAAGUGUGCAACACCAUCAAGUAAAAUGGAAUACUUACUUUACAUGGGAUUGAACUUUACAAUGGCACUAAAAUCAAAGCAUUGACAUUGCCUUAGGGAGUUUGGGAUGUUUUAGAAGCAAUCAAUAUGUUGCAGGCCCAAAUGAAGAGGUAGUCAAUAACAAAUAUAUAAAAGGAGCUAGAUACAUUUUAAAAUUGAAUAUAAAUGGUGAUAAGAGCUGUGGUUCCGCAGUGGUUAGAAUGCAGAAUUGCAGGCUAAUUCUGCUGGCUGCCAGAAAUUUGGCAGUUUGAUUCUCACUGGCUCAAGGUUGACUCAGCCUUCCAUCCUUCCAAAGUCAUUAAAAUGAGAACCCAGAUUUUUCGGGGCAAUAGGCUGACUCUGUACACCUGCUAGAGAGGGCUGUAAAGAACUGUGAAGUGGUAUAUAAGUGAAAGUGCUAUUGCUAUAAUACAAUUAGAAUAAUUAAUACUUGUAUGUUUAUGACACUAUACAAAAAUAGAUAUAGAUUGCUUGUAUUGAUUUGUUGCAAGUGAAGCAGGUUUUUGCUUCUCUUAAGAAACAUCCAGCAUUGUAAACAUGGUAUCAUCAUUUUUUCUAAAA
Long non-coding RNA from Pantherophis guttatus, 1138 nucleotides. RefSeq lists it as uncharacterized. The record is from RefSeq and is a predicted model, not a curated record. NCBI's taxonomy places the organism in Eukaryota, Metazoa, Chordata, Lepidosauria, Squamata, Colubridae.